This 342-nucleotide long non-coding RNA is filed under the name Trifolium pratense (red clover). RNAcentral's name for it is "long non-coding RNA (TPRA_LNC011571)". The record is from RNAcentral. Lineage: Eukaryota; Viridiplantae; Streptophyta; Magnoliopsida; Fabales; Fabaceae.
AAAAUGUUUGUGGGUUGGUUGCUUUUAGACGCAUGACGUCCAAGUCGCAUUCUCGUAUUAAACGCUGCUUGUAUGCUCGCACUUUGGAGGCUUAAGCGUGGUUUGUAUUACGGAGAAUGGACGAAAACGUCACCCGUUUUGUGAAAAGGGUUUUACUUUUACUGCGCGCGAGGGCAGUGAAAAAGGUUUGAGUGUGUUGAGUUGAUUUUAUGAAUUUUUGUGAAAAUGUUUGAGAAUGAGGAUGGUCCGAGACACGAGUCAUACGUCAGGGCCUCGGAACCAUUCGGGUAGAGAAAGUCAUACGUCAGUCCCUUCCUUUUUCAUCCUUUUAAUCUUAAGUCG